AGAGGAAGAGGUCAACAACCGGCUUUUGUGCCGACGCACGGGAUUCUGGCUCCGAUGGCGGCUCCGAUGCAUCAUUCGGGAGAGUCGACGAGGCAGAUGGCCUCGGAAGCCAGGCAGACGGCCAUGAAGUUCACCAACGAUGCCAAUG
Caenorhabditis elegans is the source of this 148-nucleotide non-coding RNA. Lineage: Eukaryota; Metazoa; Nematoda; Chromadorea; Rhabditida; Rhabditidae. The record is from Ensembl.